AUGAUUGCUAGUGCUUGGGACCCUGAUGUAGCGGCGACGGCGGCUGCCGGCCUUAAUCACAUGGUUGACCAGCUCAUGCUGCGACGACGGUGGUGCCUGGAUCUGGAGAUGGUUUGGUUGAGGAUGUAUCUGCACUGGACCGUUGCCCUGCUGAGCCUGAUGUGGAUUUUGAGCACCAAGCAUCUGCGCGGGGUGGUGACCCAUGGCCUGCUGCACAACACGCGCAACCUGCUGAGGAGAGAGCCUCCUGAAGUAAGCCUGCUGGAAGUCAAAGAAAUGGCAAGGCUGCGACAGAAAAGGAUUCAGCAGAGACAUUGUUCAGUAAGAAGAUGA
This 333-nucleotide ribosomal RNA is filed under the name Triticum aestivum (bread wheat). Its description in RNAcentral is "partial small subunit ribosomal RNA". The record is from RNAcentral. Lineage: Eukaryota; Viridiplantae; Streptophyta; Magnoliopsida; Poales; Poaceae.